CCUGCCCAAAAGUGGGGGAUAACAUUUGGAAACAAGUGCUAAUACCGCAUAACAACUACUUUCACAUGAUCGUAGCUUGAAAGAUGGCUCUGCUAUCGCUUUUGGAUGGACCCGCGGCGUAUUAGCUAGUUGGUGAGGUAAUAGCUCACCAAGGCAAUGAUACGUAGCCGACCUGAGAGGGUGAUCGGCCACACUGGGACUGAGACACGGCCCAGACUCCUACGGGAGGCAGCAGUAGGGAAUCUUCCACAAUGGGUGAAAACCUGAUGGAGCAAUGCCGCGUGAAUGAAGAAGGUCUUCGGAUCGUAAAGUUCUGUUAUUAGAGAAGAACAAGUCAAGGAGUAACUGUCUUGACUUUGACGGUACCUAACCAGAAAGUCACGGCUAACUACGUGCCAGCAGCCGCGGUAAUACGUAGGUGACAAGCGUUGUCCGGAAUUAUUGGGCGUAAAGGGAGCGCAGGCGGUUGGAAUAGUCUGAUGUGAAAGCCCACGGCUUAACCGUGGAAGGUCAUUGGAAACUGUCCAACUUGAAUACAGAAGAGGUACGUGGAAUUCCAAGUGUAGCGGUGAAAUGCGUAAAUUUUUGGAGGAACCCCAGUGGCGAAUGCGACUUACUG
This 619-nucleotide ribosomal RNA is filed under the name uncultured bacterium. Its description in RNAcentral is "bacterial SSU rRNA". It matches the Rfam family "Bacterial small subunit ribosomal RNA", at positions 125 to 731 of the family's 1533-position model. The record is from RNAcentral.